Anolis carolinensis (green anole) is the source of this 7144-nucleotide RNA transcript. RefSeq lists it as uncharacterized. The record is from RefSeq and is a predicted model, not a curated record. NCBI's taxonomy places the organism in Eukaryota, Metazoa, Chordata, Lepidosauria, Squamata, Anolidae. The transcript has 4 exons.
GCGUGGCUUGGCCCUCCUCUCCUCCCUCUUUCCCUCUCCCGCCAUCCAUCCAUCCCUCCUUCCUUCCCUCCUUCCUUCCUUCCAGGCCUCUCCCCCGAUGCGUCCCGGCGAUGCUCCCCGCCUGGGGCGGCUCAGACCCCGCGAGGCCGAGCCCCCGAGAGGCCUCUUCUUCUCCCGGCUCUGGAGGGGCGCCUCCCUGGACACCCCACUCGCGACCCCCACCAUGAAGGCCCAGCAGGAGGAGGACGAGGAGGAGGAAGAAGAGGAGGAGGAGGAGGAGGGGGACGCCGGCAGCAGCGCACAGAGCCGCCCCCCGGCCCACGCGCAGCCAAGUAGGACUGCUUGAAGAAAAUAUAGAAUCUUUAUGAAAAUGGAAGAGUGUAGAGUUCCAACAGUGUACUUGCACAGAAGUCCAAAAGAGAUGCACAGAAGCUGAAAACUUCCUUCUUGCUACUUCUAGCCGUAGCAUGGGUGGGAGCCCAUAAGGAAAAUUACAUCAACUUGAAUGAUUACCUCUUUGGUCACCUGCAAGAAAAGAGAAAACCAUUGGUAAGAAGGCAAGCAAAUGAUCAAAGGCUAAGAUCCCGUGCAUGUUUCACUGCACAUCAAUCCCAUUUGCCUUUGAAUAGAUUCACCUCUCUUUCUCGGGGUACUUUUCCUGGGAUUCUAGAGGGGUCGAAGGCUAUAACAGCAGUCUUGUGAGUCACAUUUGGCCACGGGCCAUGUUUUACCCUCUGUCAUGAUCUCCAAUCCUUGACAUCUCUGGUCGGCUGACAAGGAACAGAUGCCAGCCAUAAAACAGGCUGGCCAUAAAACCUCAAUUACCCUCUAGUAUGUGGGAGCCCCUAUAUAUGUGGGCCAAAAGAAGGUUCUGGCAUUCGGUACAAUAAAAAUCUGUUGGAAUCUACCAGCGUGUCUUGGUGCUUUUUCCUUUGGAAGACGGACCCACAGCACAACUGAGAGAAGAGAACCCGACACCCUCCCAUGUCCUAAAUGGCCCUUGAGCAACCCUUUUUGUCACACAUUAUAGACCUGGGGGGAAAGGCACUUGUCCCACAGACCCCAUGUACCCACCCUGAAGAUCUGAAAGCAGAUGAGAAGGAAGUCCUUUCCACUCCUCCUGCUCCUGCGCCGUUCUCUCUGCAUCAAAGAAACAAGGAGGGUGCAAGUGGGGUUCGGAUAUUGUUCUCCUCUCUUCUCUUGCUUCUUCACCUCUUUCUCAUCUGGCUCCAGCAGUGAAACAUGAAAUUGAGGGUUCAUCCAAAAAGUGUCUAGAAAAUUGAAAACAUCUGCAUCUUAGAAUGAACUCUACAGCCAGUUGGAUAUCAAAGCAUCCUUAAGAUUUGCAUUGGGGAAGUUCAACAAUGAAGCAUGCUAGAUCUUUGCUUGAUUAAUUUGCAUCCCAUUGCUGAGUAGAGACAUAUUAGCAUAAUUGAGAAGUUCCUUAGGGUGCAAUGAGCUCUCUCCAAGCUUUUCUACACUACUCUUUCACGUGAGUCCAACCCCAAGCCCAAGAGAAUUACCCCAUGGUUGGAAAGUCUGGCAUCCACCAGCGGUGUAGCCUUUGAUCCAACAGCCUUGGAAGCAGUUGACGUUCCAGCAACAGUGGGAUCCCUCUUGUGUGUGGUCACCACUAAAGUGGCAGAUCUCCAAGACAUCGAAAUGACGUAUAAAAUCAACCAAUUGCAUCCUGGAAAGUGGAGACAAACAGAAGUAGUUACAUAGUGACACAUACUGGCCUUUUCUCACUCAAGCAUGAUUGAGUGUAUGUGCCUUCAAGUCACCUGUCAACUUAUGCAGAUCCUAUGCAUUUCACAGACUUUUCUUAAAAGGUAAAGGUAAAGGUUUUCUCCUGACAUUAAGUCCAGUCAUGUCCGACUCUGGGGGUUGGUGCUCAUCUCCAUUUCUAAGCCAAAGAGCCGGCAUUGUCUGUAGACACCUCUUAGGUCAUGUGGCCAGCAUGUCUGCAUGGAGCGCUGUUACCUUCCUGCAGAAGCGGUAUCUAUUGAUCUACUCACAUUUGCAUGUUUUUGAACUGCUAGGUUAGCAGAAUCUGGAGCUAACAGCAGGAGCUCACUCUGCUUCCCGGAUUUGAACUGCCAACUUUUCAGUCAGCCAGUUCAGCAGCUCAGCUGUUUAACCUGCUGCUACUUCCAUCCUCUGAAACAUAGCCUACGGCACCUGGGAUGUGCUGGCAGUCUUCCAUCAAAUUGCUAACCAGGGCUGGCCUUGCUUAGCUCCCAAGAUGGGAUCAUUGGGGUAUUUGGGUCAUCAUAUAUAAUUAGGUGCUCAAAUGAGGUGAGUGACAUGAGACUUUAUCUGAAAAUUAGGUUCAGAGUUUGGGAAAGCUACUGGCUGGAAUGGAGAGCUGAAGUACACAAAUUAACUUUUCCAAGUUGUAUUAAAGGGCAUGCAUAAGAUACUUGUAAGGGGCCCCUGGUGGCAAAGUGUGUUAAAGCGCUGAGCUGCUGAACUUGCGGACCAAAAGGUGCCAGGUUCAAAUCCCAGGAGCAGAAUGAGCGCCUGCUGUUAGCCCUAGCUCCUGCCAACCUAGCAGUUCGAAAACAUGCAGAUGUGAGUAGAUCAAUAGGUCCUCCGGCGGGAAAGUAACGGCGCUCCAUGCAGUCAUGCCGGCCACAUGACCUUGGAGGUGUCUACGGACAACGCCGGCUCUUCGGCUUAGAAAUGGAGAUGAGCACCAACCCCCAGAGUUGGUCACGACUGGACUUAUCGUCAGGGGAAAACCUUUACCUUUACCUUAUAAGAUACUUGUAAUCAUUGUAGGGAAGCACACUUCUGUGUAGCUAAGUUUUCUUUUACUGCUGAUUCCAAUUUCCUUACCAAAAUUCUCCAUCUUUCCGAUCACACACGUGAAGCUUCUUCAGGAGUUCGGGGUCCAAAGAGGACCACAGUGGUGAUCUGAAGCCAGAAAAAAACCAAGAGACACGGACAUGAAUUGUCGUGCAAUGGGAGCUUACAUAGGCAAGGCUGGUACAAUGAAGACAUUAUGAGGCACUAUAAGCACUGAAUGGUAGGAAUUUUGUCCUGCCUGUCCCCAAUUCUCCGUGGAAGCCACGAUAAUCAAACUGAGGCUGUUGUACUGUGGUCAUGUCAUGAGAAGAAAAGAUUACAAAAAACAAUAAUGCUUGGAAAAGAUGAAAACACUCAAUCAAGGAAGCCAUGGCCCUGAGUCUGUUAAGGCCCGAGACUGCUGAAAGGCUUGGAGAUGGGUAAUUCAUGGUAAUUCAUGGCACCACCCAUGUAGACAGUAGUAAACAGCAAUGACGGUGAUGGACAGUCUUCGGUAGGACUCUAGACCCCCACCCCCUUUGAGAAUAACAAGAGUGUGGAAGCUCAUCUCACCUGGAAAUGGAAGAUGCCAGCAUAUUCAGUGCCUCCGAAAUGUUGAUCUUGUGGAACCACCCGAUAAAGGAGUUCUGGGUACAGGGUAAGGGAGGCGGCUGCUGCCAAGAACCAGCAGUCACCUUUAAGAAAGAAAAAGGCAUAAGAAUGUCAUCAAAACAUAGGCUAGUGCUAGCAGCGAAACAAAAGAGGAUAGAGAAUGACAGCAAACGAACUGUUACCCAGUUGCCCCUGGCAGACAUCGGUCCGAUUCAUUCCUUUACAAAUAAAAUGUGGCGUUCCAUGUUUGCAGAUGUCCUGUAAAAAAAUUGCACAGAGCACAAUGAUUUUAUUUUGAGACUGUAGUCCCAAAAAGGAACUUUUCCAGACUUUGAUGCAGAGGGUGACAUUUUCUACUUGUUUUUUUUUUUGGGGGGGGGGGGUGCUACAAUAUCUCAUGUUUGUCCUCAGGUAGAAAUUCUAGAUGCUACAGUUUACAGCCACCCGUUGUCCUACAUUUCCUUGUUGAUCUCCAUUGUAUCCUGCAGAUAAUACUCUUUAACUAAAUAUUUACUUUUCACAACUGCCACCUGGUGAGCUUAAAGACAUGUUCCCCACAUUUAACUUCUCAAGACCUACCCAACACAAAGAGCUGGCUUCGGACAUUUGGCAGCUUGAGGCAGAAUAGCAAAUAUUGCCCUCCUACCCACCUCUCAAACUCGAAGUGCCCUUAAACAGUCAUAUUAUUUUACUGCAUAAGUUAACCCCAUGGGGAGAAAGGCAGGAUAUAAAUAAAGGUUAAUCAUAACAACAACAACAACAACAACAGGGUUGCUAUGAGUUUUCCAGACUGUAUGACCAUGUUCCAGAAGCAUUCUCUCCUGACGUUUCAUCCACAUCUAUGGCAGGCAUCCUCAGAAGUUGUGAGGCUGUUGGAAACUAGGCAAGUGAGACUUAUAUAUUUGGAAAGACCAGGUUGGGAGAAUGAACUCUUUUCUGUUUGAGGCCAGCUUGAUUAGCAUUUAAUGGCCUUGCAGAUUCAAAUCCUGGCUGCUUCCUGCCUGAGAGAAUCCUUUGUUGGGAGGUAUUAGCUGGGCCUGAUUGUUUCUUGUCUGGAAUUCCCCUGUCAUCUAAGUAUUGUUCUUUAUUUAUUGUCCAGAUUUUAGAGUGUUUAAAUACUGGUAGCCAGAUUUUGUUCAUUUUCAUGGUUUCCUCCUUUCUGUUGAAAUUGUCCACAUGCUUGUGGAUUUCAAUGGCUUCUCCCAACAAAAGAUUCCCUGAGGUAGGAAGCAGCCAGGCUUUGAAUCUACAAGGCCAUUAAAUGCUAAUCAAGCUGGCCAAUUGCAACAUGCACACUUGACUCAAACAGACCAGAGUUCUUUCUCCCAACCUGGACUUUCCACAGAUAUAAAAACCCCACUUGCCUCUGGAACAUGGCCAUACAUCCCGGAAAACUCACAGCAACCCAGUGAGUCCAGCCAUGAAAGGGGUUGUUAUAAUAAUAACAACCCCUACUCCAAUCGCUGGUAGUAUAGUUGUGACUUAUAGCAAUUUGCUAUCUUUUUUGCAACAUUACAAAUCUGCUACUUGAAGUGAGGGGGUGAAAUGUAUCUAGGACCACAUGUGGUCCUCAAGUCCAUUUCUGUGGUCUUCAUUCUACCCAGACUCUAAACUGCUUUUUUUCUGGCCAAAACUGAGGAAUCCUUCAUCCUCUGCUUAAUGCCAGUUUUCCUCCCCAAAAUUGGAGGUUGGGAUGUUUUUCUUUGACCCUUUUGGCAUUUUUCCCCCAGACCUGCUGUUGUUGCCUACCCCGCUGACACCGGAGCAAUCCUGCAUUAACUGGUAUUAUAGUGUUUACUCUUCUUGGGAUGAGCUCUUGAUAAGGAGUAAGGCAUAAGCAACACACACAUAUGUCUUAUUCCUAACCCAUGUUAAGGAGCCAGCUUGGUGAUCUGUUCACUGGAUCACAGUUUGAAUCUCAGCUCAGCCAUAAAACCCACUGGUUGUUCCUGGGCAAGUCAUACCCUCUUGGCAAAAAGGAAGGCAAUGGCGAACCUCUCCUGAAUAUAUCUUGCCUGUGAUAGGUUCACCAUAAGUCAGAAACAACUUGGAGACACACUACAACUCACCUUUGGCCUCUUCCAUACCACCCCUUGGAUAUUCACGGAGCCGGGUCCUAGUUCUUUGUACCCAAGCGACUCUGCACAAGGUUUGAAUUCGGGGUCAAGGAAGAGACGUUGCUGUUGGAGGCACUGACGUUUCAGCUCCUGAUAGUUUUGUUCAUGGUAGGGUAUAGAUCUGGCUGUUCCUUUGGAGUCAGAGUCCUUGGUGAGGCGAAUGGUGAUACUGGAACGAGACAUAGCUGAGGCCAACUGUGGCUAGAUCCAGAUAGGUGAGGAGAAUAUGCCCAGAUCAUCUGGUUCCACUUUGCUCCUCCCAUUUCUAUCAACAAACUGGAAGAGUUUUGCUUCUGGACUUAGAUGCAGGGAUGCGGAAUUUAACUCUUUGUUAGACAGUUUCUUGAAGGAGCCAGGGCUCACACAAUGGCUUUAAGCUAGUAUUUCCUAACCAUUGGUCCUCUAACGGUUUUGUACUUCAUCAUCCAUAGCCAGUAUGACCAAUGGAGACUGUGGGAUCUGAAAUCCAAAAUGCAGUUUGUAGAGGUCAAAAUUAGCUAAAGACCAACACAUAUUAUGCUUGGAAUGCAUAAUAUCUGUGUGCCUUCAAAUCAAUUGUUGAUUUAUGGUGAUCCCAUGGAUUUCAUUGGGGUUUUAGGCAAGGAAUAACCAGAAGUAUUUUGCCAUUUCCUUCCUCUGAAAUGGAAACUACAGCCCCUGGUAUUCGUUGUCAGUCUCCCAUUCAAGUACUAACCGGACAAUUGUGUUUAUCUUCCAAAAUCAGAUAGGAUCUUGGGCCUUUACAUUAUCUAGACCUCCUAUCAAAUAGAGUACUAGAGAUUAAUUUAAAAGGUUUAUACCUUUCAAAUAAUUCAGUCAUAUGCAUUAUAUAUUACAUAGAGGUGAACUAAUAUACAGGGCAAGACAAAGCAUACCCCUUGAUCAGUUGAUGGCAUGGAGGUUGCCCCAUGGUAUGGCCAUGUCAUGAUCUCCAGUCUUUGACAUCUCCGGUCAGCUGACAAAGAACAGAUGCCAGCCAUAAAACGGGCCAGUCAUAAAACCUCAGUUACCCUCUGGUAUUCGAGAGCCCCUAUAUAAGUGAGCCAAAGAGAAGGUUCUGGUAUUCGGUACAAUAAAAUCUGUUGGAAUCUACCAGCGUGUGUCUUGGUGCUUUUUCAGGUGGAAGACUGACCCACAGCACAACUGGGAGAAGAGAACCCGACAGGACACCUCCAUCAAGCAAGAAUUCAAAUCAGGGUGAAAAAUUUAUUGGGCAACUUUACGCACACACUGUUGGAUUGCAAUAGCCAUCAGGUUUGGCCAGCCCAGCCAAUUGAGAAAAAAAAUGGGUGCUGUAAUCUGACAAUAUCUGAAGGGUCACCUUGAAACAGAGCAAUCUUCAUUAAGAAUGUUUUGUGCACAAAAGUUUUAACAUAUGUGCCACCUGAAGACAACUGGCCUCUUCUCAGAGUCAAUGAAGUUUGAAAGAAGAUGAGGUCCAAUUUUAACAUGGCUGUUAGGGAGUUAAUGUGUGUGUUUACUUUAUGAUGGACACAAUAACUGUUAAUCUUUUACCUCCUUAGGAGGAAACAAUAACCAACCUGUUGCAGAGCAAAUAUACUUAGGGCUGUCAGCUGCCUGUCCGUUUGAUAUUGUGUUGAAUUAAUUAAAUAUUUUGAAUUGGG